GAAAGAGUUCCGUUUGACAAUCCAAACACACGCAUAGAUUGUUUCAACCACUGGUUACAUACUCAGUUGGUUAAUCAACACAAGACAACUCGAUCUACAAAACUACAUAUAUGACUCUUAUUUACACGUAUAAUACCUAGGCAGAACGGGUGAACCUAGGACCCUGCAGACCCACCACAUUCACAGGUAAAUAUGCAAGUGAUCAUCCGUAUAUGAGCUUACAAAUACUACUGUACUACACAUAACUUAGCCUUCCAGUACAGCUUAAACAGAAAGGUUUCGUUUCAGACCGUGCCACACCGUAUGUCACACCCACAGAACACCCAAUCCGUGUUUGUCUAACAUAAUGUUACAAGAUGAAUCGAAUAUACAAGUACAUACACCAACACAAUGCUCUCUUCCGUUCCUCGGUUAUACAACACGGGCUUAUACAAAUUACAUUAGCAAAACACUCACACUGUACGUCCGUUGUCACUACCACUUUUGGUCAACUAUGGAUGACUUCUUUGCCAAUGACUGCCUCCUUGAACUUGCUUGUGAACACGUUGUCUUCGUAUCUAGUUGCCCCACCAGAGAGAGAAGAGAGAGAGGGAGAGGAUGUACUGCAGCAUCUUCAUGAUAAAAGUAUAGUUUACAUCUAGUUUGUUUCUUCCGGGGCCCAGUCUACCACGAUUGCUCCGUGCCGUCAUUACCUGUAACGUUUCUUUUUUUACAUGCAUAAAAGGAGGCCAUAAACAAGAAUGUGCAAGGUUGUCAAGUAAAAGGAAAAAUAUGGCUUUUCCCGUAUGCUACCUUUUCUUCUUGGUCUUUUCGCUAGAGGAAGCUGUGUUGCUGCUGUGCCAGUUCCUUUUGCGUUGGUUGAUGAACCAAUUGUUGAUCUGCUUCAGUUGUAACCCCGUCUCCUGCACCAGGCGAGCCUUGUCGUCUUCCUGGAUGGGUCAGGCAGGAAUUGUUCGUCAUGGACAGAAACUAAUAGCAAGAUGAAGCUUGGAAAUGGUAGUAUCACGUACGGUAGGGUACGGCCACUUGGAAUGAGCUUGCCACCAGGCUUUCAAUGUAGCUGCAGUAUCCCCGGGAAGUUUACCAGCUCUCCUCUUGCGCAUGAUCUCCUCCCUGAUAUCAACCAGCUUUUCUUUGUACCCCUAGAGGUAGGAAGUUUUUGUUAGUCGUUAAACAUGUUGGUCACUCUUCAGCCAUGAAUGAUGCAAUGAAGCACUUUUUAGGCUGCAAUGUUAUUAUUACCUGUUUAAGCUCACUCUUCAGCUCAUGCCGAACACGUUCAAUCAAAGACCGUUCACCCUCGGUCAAUAUCAGGGGACCAAAGCCCAUACCAUCUGACCCAUCGUUUCCAUCAAACAUGUUGGUCUCACUAUCCACUUGGUUAUCUUCAUCAUCGGACAUAGUCGCCCCAGUGCCUUCACCAGGAGAUGCCCCUGCAGGAUAAAUCCACAGGAGCACAACUCAGUUUUCCAUUUAUUCUAUUUAUGAUAAUCAACACUUCUUUAGGUUAUCCUCAAAAAACAUGUGUUCUACUCCCUCCGUUCCUAAACAUUUGUCUUUUUAGAGAUUUCAAAUGGACUACCACAUACGGAUGUAUAUAGACACAUUUUAGAGUGUAGAUUCACUCAUUUUGCACCGUAUGUAGUCACUUGUUGAAAUAUCUAGAAAGACAAAUAUUUAGGAACGGAGGGAGUAAAUGUAAACAUAUAAACAUCUGAAGACUAAAACAUCUAAAGAAAUGUGCAGAUUAAGUUCCAAAGUGAAAAAUUAAGGUAUGCAAAGUGAAUUCCUGUACAUAUUCUACCCUGUAACUAAAGCUGUGAUUCAUAAAAAUUGUUGCUGAAGCCUCGAACAUGACCGUAAAAUUAUGGCAUCUGUGACCUACAAAAGCACACAAAACGGAAAACCGGAAAACGUACAAGCAUAAGAGAGAAGACUUUGGCAGGCAGACCAGAGCAUCCUAAUCAUUCAUUCAUCACAACAGAUUAAAAGUUCCCACCCAAAUAUGCUCGAUACUUAAUGCAUGUUAAACAAAUCCAGACUAACUGUUGAUAUCUAUUUCAUGAAUGGGUCUUGAUUUCAUAAAUAACUUCAGUAGAUUAAGUAAUGUGGCUUCCACAUGUGCACUAGCUAGUAUACCUAAGAAGAUACUCCCUUUAUAUUGUAUUGUAAGGACAAAGCCUUUAUAUCAUAUUGCAAGGACAAAGAUUUUUCCUGCCUAUUCUUACAAUAAUAAGACGUGCAUGUUAAUUUACCGAUGUUUUUGUUGUUUCCUCAUUUAUCAAACUUUCCUUCUCCUUACUUAUAAGGGCCAAUUCACGAGUAAUUCCCUCUGCAAAUUCCAAGGCGUUUUAUAAUUUGAAAUGCAGGGCAUAAGUAUAAUAACAUAUGGUCAGAUCUGUGGUCAUGAAUGGUACUCCCUCCGCCCGGAAAUACUUGUCGGAGAAAUGGAUGUAUCUAGACGUGUUUUAGUUCUAGAUACAUCCAUUUUUACCCAUUUCUCCGACAAGUAUUUCCGGACAGAGGGAGUACUUAAGAGUGCCAAACUUAAUGUUAUUUUGGCAGUUGUAAAGAGGUGAGGCAAGGAGGGGGGGAGGGUGUCCUUUUCUCUUUAACUUUGCUGCAAGUUGUCUGCAUGAAGUUCAGCUGGCACAGGAAAAUGAUUUAUUUGUUGGGCUAGUACCCCACAUCGAGACUCCCCCACAUCGGAUGAAUCAUGGCAUAGCAAUAUUGCAGCAUGCUGAUGAUACCAUCUUGCUCAUGCAAGAUAAGCUGGGAGGUGCCUGGAAUUUGAAGCUGCUGCUUUACAUGUUUCAACAAAUGGUUUGAAAAUGAACUUUCAGAAAAGUGAAGUGAUGAUGAUGAUGAUAAGGGGCUGAUGUAUGCUGAUAUGUUCAACUCCCAAAAGGGAGUAUCAUAUUGAGUACCUGAGAGUACCAGUGUGUAGUAGCAGAUUACUUGUGGGCAUGUGGCCGAGUGGGCGCCAUUGAGGAAAAACUCAAGCAGACUUGAUGGAUGGAAGGGAGGAACUCUAUCCAUGGGGGUAGAGUAACUUUGAUUAAAUCUAGUGUGUCCAGUAACCUCAUUUAUCAUAUGUCAAUGUAAAGGCUGCCGAAGACAAAUAUUGAUGAUAUGAACAGAACAAUUAGGAAGUUUUUCUGCCAGGGUGGUGGCACCAAAAGGAAAUAUCAUAUCGUUAGGUGGCCUAUCAUAUGUAGACCCAAGAACAAAGUUGGCCUGGGCAUUCAUGACUUGGAGAAAAUCAAUAUCGGCCUGUUGUACAGGUGGAGGUGGAAUUUAGCGAAAAGUGAAGGGAUGUGGCAGGAGAUUGUGAGAAAGAAUUAAAAAAUACAAUCUAGGAUUUGACAGGUUGCUCGAAGUGCUGCUGAUACAGCAAGUUGGGCUGAUUUGGUAAACGUCAUAUCUUGGUAUCUGCUCAGCGGAGUUAUGAAAAUAGGAAAUGGAAGGCAGACUGGCUUCUGGGAAGAUAUACUUGGUGCAGCUCCAGGCUUCUGAGCCAAAACAAUACUGACCUGUUUGCGAUCAGUAGUGAUCUUGGGUGCAGUUUCAGGCAAAGGGCAGAUAGAGGGUGGCAAUGUAACAUUAGGAGAUGGUUGGAGGCAGAUUUGCAAGAACAGGCUGCAGUACUACGAACUGAGCUCAGGGUGGCUCUGAACAAAAACGCAGCUGUACCCUGCUGGACAUGGAUGCAAGCGGAUGGUGUCUGCAUGUCCACGACCGUCCGCAGAGCAAAAAUUGCACUAAUCUUCAUUACUUUAAUAACCAUGUUAGUGUAAACUUUCUGUUCGCGGAUGGUCACGGACAUGCGGACGCCGUCCACUUGCAUCCCUAGGGCCAAGCUUGGCAGGUUCACUGUCUAUACGCACAUAUCAGAUUAUGGUCCUGAUUGAUCCUUUAAGCAUCUUUGAAAAGCCAAAACUCCAGAAAAGAUGAAAACUUGGUUCUGGCUGAUUUGGCAUAAUCCCAUAGCAACCAAGGACAGCAUGGUAAAAAGGCCAUGGGCAGGGGACCCUCUGAGUGGCUUUUGUCCUCAACAUGAGAGCAUUCACCGCUUGUACUUUGGCUGGCCUGCUGCUAAAUACAUGUGGUGUUUGGAGCAAUGGAUUGGUGUAGGGGCAGGCCUGGCGUUUCUCUAAGUAUUUUUGGGGGAUACCCAGAAAUCUUCCUGCCAAUCAGAAGAUGCAGAUUGUUGGCCUUGCAGCAUUAUGCUGGGAUAUGUGCAGCUUAGAUACAGAGCUUGUUUUACAAUAAAAUAAAUUAAUUAGAUCACCUGCAGAAAUAAUUUGCUACUCGCGCAGUUGUGCUGUUUCCUGUUGUAUUGGGCAGGUAUUCAAAAUGCCGAUGACCGAGCAGCCCUAGAAAUGAGGGCAGUGGCACUGCAACUUAAAGCGCCUGCCCCGCAUGAUGAUGGUGCACAUGAAGCUGGAGGUGAAACCCUGCAUAUUACUCAUCCUGGGCCUGGUGAAGGAGAUGGUCCAACUGUUGAUCCUUCUCAUGGUGCACUUGAUGACCGAGAGUGUUUUGAUGGAUGCUCGCUUUGCUGUUUGUGAUCCUAAAAGUUGCUGGUUGGCUUAGGUGUUAGGCAUCUUUGGUACGUGGUGUUGGCUGGAGUGCCGCUUUUGCAGCCCUUGGUACUGUAUGCCUCUCUGGCUGUAAAUCUAGAUCGAACCUCUAGUGCUUCUAGUGUUAGGGUGGUAGCUGAACUGCUUUUGUUUUCUGUUUCUGCACUGGAUCUCUGCACCGUUAUUGGUACGAUAGUGGGACCCGGUCCUUUCUUGGAUCGUAUGGAAUAUAAGUAUAAUAACAUACAACGGAAGCUCAUAAGCAUUAAAGGUAGGCCUAUGAUAGUUGGAAAUUUCUUAAAUCAGUUAAUCCUAUCGCUCAAAGUUUACACAGUGGGAAACCUUUUAAAAUAUUUAAUUAUGUUAUCCGCCUGAUAUCCAUUUUUCUUUCAUUUUUCAUUUCAACUACCACCCUUUUUGGUUUCCACAUUAUAAAUAACUACAUACUAUAUACUUGCCACUCUGCUCAAGCAAUAUACACAGAUAAAAGCUUUCAUUUACCUGUUAGACUUUGUAAGGAUUGUUCAAGCUCCCAACAACCCAUCACUGCUUCCAUUGCAUGAACACGCACAUGCUGCUGGAGUUGUUCUUUAAAUGAACAGAGAAGCAAUACAUAAUGUGUCUGCAAUCCAAUGAAGAAUAAUUAGAACCCAUAAGAAGGAUUGUACACAGAAAAAGAAUAUUGUGCUAGAUGUAAGCAACAUAUUCAUUUCUUAGAAGAUAUACAAGUUUCAGAAAAGUAAAGGAAAUUCUAGUCAUGCGACAUAAAAGCAUUUUAGAUGAUCAGUAGAAGUAAGGGCACUACUAAAUAAGAUUGAAGUAAAGACAGAAAUGGGCAAUUCAUACAGGCGAGCAGGUCUACUAGUAUGACAUUUCAGGUCUGACAAAUAAGCUGUUAAUACCACAAAAAGGCCCGCCAAUGACCCAUGGCGUAUCUAUACUACUCCCUCUAUUCCUAAAUAUAGGUUUUUUAGAGAUUCCAAUAUGGACUACAUACGGAGCAAAAUGAGUGAAUCUACACUCCAAAAUAUAUCUACUCCCUCCGUUCGGAAUUACUUGUCGCAGAAAUGGAUGUAUCUAGACGUAUUUUAGUUUUAGAUACAUCAAUUUUCGAGACAAGUAAUUCCGAACGGAGGGAGUAUAUACAUCCAUAUGUAGUUCAUAUUGAGAUCUCUAGAAAGACUUAUAUUUAGGAAUGGAGGGAGUACUUCAACAAGUAUGGUGCCACUAUAUGGAUGAACCUCAGCGUAGGAUAUAUACUGUAUCUGCUUUGGUUUCAUUUCUCAUUCAUACAAACAAAUUGAUAAGGCUAUUGCAGCAGCGUUGUUACAAUAACCAGCAACCACUAGUCAGAUCGACCCUCCAAUUCACCAUAAGGAGCACAUCAGAAAUCCAUCACUGGCCCUAAUCAAAACCUAUGCAAAUUUUAUCCCAAUUUCUCCCUAUUCCGAAUUCCAAUUGUUCACACGAAACAUAUACAGAAUACAUGUACGGCACCCAGUGGCAACGCAGGAAAAAAUAGGCAGGGGCGUGAAAGCCAUAGAUACCAUGAAGAGGUCGAGCUCCUCGCCUCCGGAGGGCCCGCCCGCGGCGGCGGCGGCGGCGGCGAGGGGGGGCGGGCGGGCCGCGAUCUGCGCGUCGAUGCGGGGGAGCUGGUCGACGGGGGUGGCGACGCGGAGGCAGGCGACGUGGGCCUCCAGGAGCCGCUCGUACAGCGGGUGCGCCGCGAUGGCCGCCUUCUCCCUCUCCCCGCCGCCGCCGCCGGGAGAGAAGCUAGGGUUUGGCGACGAGGCAGCGGCCGCGGCGGCCGCCGCCGCGUCCAUCNNNNNNNNNNNNNNNNNNNNNNNNNNNNNNNNNNNNNNNNNNNNNNNNNNNNNNNNNNNNNNNNNNNNNNNNNNNNNNNNNNNNNNNNNNNNNNNNNNNNNNNNNNNNNNNNNNNNNNNNNNNNNNNNNNNNNNNNNNNNNNNNNNNNNNNNNNNNNNNNNNNNNNNNNNNNNNNNNNNNNNNNNNNNNNNNNNNNNNNNNNNNNNNNNNNNNNNNNNNNNNNNNNNNNNNNNNNNNNNNNNNNNNNNNNNNNNNNNNNNNNNNNNNNNNNNNNNNNNNNNNNNNNNNNNNNNNNNNNNNNNNNNNNNNNNNNNNNNNNNNNNNNNNNNNNNGGGGAGGGAGGCAGGCGGGGACGGGGACGGGGGCGGAGGCGCUCGGGGGGGGGAGGGGAGGCGCAACGACCUCGGCGGUUGUGGGUUUUGGUUGGUGGGGAUGGGAGGGACGGGCGGAGUGGAUGACGGAUGGCAGGGUGGGUUGGCGUCCUUGUCGCGGCUGACGACUGUCCGCGAGCGAGCGAGCGAGCGGGACGACGAGCUCGUCAAAAUAUGUGAGGUGUGGACUGCAGAGACGUGCACCCUACGGCGUCGAUACCGACGAGGAGAUACAGCUGCUGGCCGGCGUGGAGACCAAAUUACAAUUAAAAAAUCAAUUAAAAGUGUUAGAACCCGUAUUUAUGUACUUCCUCCAUUCAGAAUUACUCGUUCAAAAAAUAAUGUAUCUAAAUGUAUUUUAGUUGUAGAUACAUUUAUUUUUAUUCAUUUUUGUGUCAAGUAAUUCCGAACGGAGGGAGUAGUAGUUUCGUAAUCAAGAAAAAUCUAACGUCACAUUUUAAGUAUUUUGGGAUGAAUGUUGUAAUAACCGUUGGAUUGUUCGCACGAAUAUUGACCAAGAGGGUGGCAACGUCACAUUUUGAGAUAGUUCGAUGUCCUAGCUUUUCACUCCAUACUCUCUGGCUCUCAUUUAAAGUGUUCCACGUCUGAACCACCCACUGCAUCCCACCUCAAUCCUAUUAUUAUUUUUCUCUCAAGUGCGUGCUCCGGUCCCUUCCUCUUCUCUCUCUGAUGCGGAAGAGAGCGGGGGAGUUGGCGAGGUGCGGUGGCUCGUGUCUAACGAAUCAUGUGUAUUUCUGACGAUUUUCAGAUGAGAAGGAUGGGGAAGAGAGGAGGCUGUUGUCGGUGUCAAAAUCGGCGGAUCUCGGGUAGGGGGUCCCGAACUGUGCGUCUCAAGCUAAUGGUAACCGGAGACUGGGGACACGAUGUUUACCCAGGUUCGGGCCCUCUCGAUGGAGGUAAUACCCUACUUCCUGCUUGAUUGAUUUUGAUGAUAUGAGUAUUACAAGAGUUGAUCUACCACGAGAUCGUAGAGACUAAACCCUAGAAGCUAGCCUAUGAUUAUGAUUGUGUUGUUCGUCCUACGGACUAAACCCUCCGGUUUAUAUAAACACCGGAGGGGGCUAGGGUUACACAGAGUCGGUUACAAAGAAGGAGAUCUAUCAUCCGAAUCGCCAAGCUUGCCUUCCACACAAAGGAGAGUCUCAUCCGGACACGGGACGAAGUCUUCAAUCUUGUAUCUUCAUAGUCCAACAGUCCGGCCAAAGCAUAUAGUCCGGUUGUCCGGAUACCCCCUUAUCCAGGACUCCCUCAGUAGCCCCUGAACCAGGCUUCAAUGACGAUGAGUCCGGCGCGCAGAUUGUCUUCGGCAUUGCAAGGCGGGUUCCAUCUCCGAAUACUCCAAAAUAAUCUUCGAACACUUGAGUCGUGUUCGGCUCUGCAAGACAAUUUUCACGUACCACCGUAGAGAGAACAAUAAUCCACAAAUCUAAUCUGCUGACAAUUCUUCGUAGCAAGACAUCACGCCACGGCCCGACCAUUAUUCGAACUGUUGUUUACAACCAGCUACUGCGCAUGUUGCGAGGCGGUUUCCUUGGCAUGUCUUAUCGAAGCAGAGAUCGUCCCCCCUUAUCGCGGGAUUCUCUUUAAUACGGGCGUGGGUAACCCAACCGCACCACCAAUCGCUGUGAGUGGAGGACGAGCAGGUUUCAUUAGGCAAGCAGGGAGGCACAAAGUUUCAUCGCCUCUAUAAAGAGGAAAGGCCUUUUCCUUUCUACCCACGCCUUCUUCUUCUUAUGCUCGUCCCUUUCCUUUCGCCCGAGCCCUAGCGCCCAAGCGUUCAUCUUCCCCACCAACAAAGGUUCUUCGAAAAUGUCCGGAUCCGGAGCAGGAGGCAAGUGGAUGGCCUCUUCCGUCUAGGAGAAGGAUAUUAAAAAACUUCGGGAGGCCGGGUACCUGGCCAAGAAAAUCGGCCACCGUCUUCCGAAGGCGGGACAGAUUGUCCCUACUCCGGAGCCCCAUGAGAGGGUCGUUUUCCUCCCCCAUUUCGUCCGCGGGCUUGGGUUUCCCCUUCACCCAUUUGUUCGCGGCUCAUGUAUUACUACGGGAUCGACUUUCACGAUCUAUCCUCCAAUUCCUUCCUCAACAUCUCGACGUUUAUCAUCGUGUGCGAGGCCUUCCUCCGCAUCUCGCCACACUUCGGACUAUGGCUGAAGAUCUUCAACGUAAAGCCCAAGGUGGUGAACGGCGAGCACGCCGAGUGCGGAGGCGCCAUGGUGAGCAGGAUGCCCAAGGUCACAUGGCCGACGGGUACUUUCAACGAUUCCGUCAAGGAGUGGCAGCAGCAGUGGUUCUACAUCACUGAGCCACGCGGCAAAAAAUGGGCCGCUGCUCCUGAGUUUCGAUCUGGAGCCCCUUUGCGACUCACGUCCUGGCCCAAGAAGGGCUUGAACUGGUCGUCGUCCGACGAACUGUCGGUGAUCCAGACACGCGUCAAAGGUAUGGAAGACAAGGCCAUCAAACUUGUUGACGUAGUCCAGGUGAUGCUGGUCCACCUGGUUCUUCCUUGUCAGCACAGAAGCUGUAAUUUGUGGGAGUAUGACCCGUCCGAGCACCAGACCCUGCGAGAGCUUUUCGGCUCCUCACACAAGGAUAUUUGGAAGGUGCUUUUUAAGUCCGGCAAACCGUGGCCGGACUCCGCCGUGGACCGCGGGUACCAACUGUCUCGCCCCGCAAGUCCGGUAAGUCAUCAUUACGUCUUGGUCAUCUGCAUGUUUCAUUGGCAUGUCCCGAGGGAGAUGUUUUAACGUGCUUUUCAACAAUUAUCUUAGGGAUGGACGAAGAAGACGGGGCGGAUACACUAUCCAGCCCCACUGCUGGAAGAACCGGCAGGACCACUUUUGACGAAGAUGCUGGUCCCAGCACCGUACGAGGCGCCGAAGAAAGAGGCCAACAAAGAGGCCAAGGAGACCAGGAGCAGCCUCCGUCGUCGCGGUGCCUCGGACACAAAGUCCGAAGACUCCAGUGACCAUCCUUCCUCCUAAGAGUAUGAGGAGGAAGAGGAAGAGUCCCCUACGGGGGGAGGGAAGAAAAGGACAGCCUCCUCAUCCCUAGAGGUUGAUUCUCCCAAGAGGAGAAGAACACCCAUCCUAGAGGUGUCCACCACGGCUACCAACAGCAGUCCGGAGUGGGAUCCCAGGGCCCAGCCCCUGAUAAACUCGUAAGUGCAUGAAAUUCGAACAUGUCCAUGCAUCCAGGAUUACUAAAGUGUAAUAUUUUGAUUUGCACCGAACUUUUUGCAGUCCGGCAAGGUCUCCCGCCGAACAGUCCUCAUCAGAGGAUUCAUUGAGCUCCAAUGCCUUAGAGAGCGAGACACCUCCGUGGGCCCCUUCCCCGAAGCCUGGUUGUGACAUCGAGGUGUCGUCCCAAAAGGACCUCGACCAGGGGGGCGUACCUCAGGGGCCGGACACACGGGAGGAGCGGUUCCCAUGAAUGUCGAUGGCGGGGGCGAUCUUGGAUUCGGCCCACAGUCGGACACAGUCCCCGGAGACCCUUGAGGCUCCGGGAUCAGGCAGGUAGCCCCUCUUGACUGGAGGGGGCGGUCCUACUUCACCUGCGACCUCUGUCCAUCCAGAGGUGUCGGGCAGCUUAUCGAAAGCGCAGAAGAGCGCUCCCAUCAUCGAUGAACAUCGCGCCCUUAUGGGCGCGGUGAUAGAAAAGAUUCAGGCCGCUGAGAGCGGACUGAAUGAAUCCUGCAUCAGCCUUAUAAAAGGCUUGGAGGUAUGUUUUAGGAGUUUUUAGAAGACUGUCAUAGUAUGGAUAGUAGCCCCUGAUACACUGUUCGGUGAGGAAGGGAACCGGACAGCGGAUCAAAUUUUCGUCCGCGGGAGACUCAGCUAAUGACAUAUAUCUCUUUCUUUAUGAACAGGCGUCUGCAGCGACUGCCUCCUCUCAUACUGUGGAAGUGUCCAGACUUAAGAAGAAUCUGGAGCGGGCCGAAGAAGAACUUGGUCGAGUAAAGAAGCAGUUGGAGGAUAAACAGGGUAUGUUGAAACCUUAUUAAGUUUUAGCACAAAUAAGUAGUUGUGCCUGAUUAAAGCAUUUAUAUUGCGCACUCUAGGGGCGAAUGCCAAAAUUGAGGCGCUCAAGAAGGCUGUUGCCUCGGCCGAAAAGAAGGCAGCCGCGGAGCAAGCUCUCCACGAGAAGCAUGAGGCCAGGGUCAUUGAAGUUGAAUGAGAGCUUCACGAGGCCGUGAAGAAAAGCGAGACUUUGGAGCAAAGUCUAUCAUUGAAAGAAUCCGAACUUGUCCAAGCUCUCCAAGCUGCAAAUGAUGCUCGGGAGGAAGCCCAAGCUGAUCUGAAGGAUAUUCAGGAGGCGAGGAAGAUUGCGGCUGGUAAGGCUUUUUCUUAUUCAAAGCGAUUUAUAUGCGGUAGCAGGAAAAAUUCAGGGUGACCCAUUGAAUCUUGAUUUCUCCAGGGGCGUCUGCGGAUCUGCUGCACAACAUAUCUGAUGCUGCCCAAUUCUAUCGAGCUGAGGAGAAGAAGACUGCGGAGAAGCUCUUUUGGUCGCAGUAUUUGGCCCCGAAUUAUCCGAUGCCAUUUGUCGACCAGCUGAAGCAGCUGGUCGAACUGCAUCAGGCGGCCGAACUAGCCAUGAAGGAUUUGAUUAUCCGGCUAUGGCCCGCCGAGCCCAUUCUGAGCAGUUUCUUUGGGCUUGUGAAGCAAAUUGUGAGUGCUUGCCCUCGGCUUGACGUCAUUAAGUGGUCGGUCUGUAUAGAAGGUGCGUGAAUGGCAUUUGCCCGUGCGGAAGUGCACUGGGGGAAGCUAGAUGCUGAGAAGCUGAUGACCAAGGGACCGCCGGAGGGGAAGGAGCACCGCAAGCCCGAAUUAUAUUAUGAUGGUGUCCUGAAAGGUGCCUGCCUUGUGGCGGAGCAAUGUGCGAAAGACAUUAUUUUUCCCUGAAGGCAGUCAUGCUGUCCUUUGUAAGGCAGAACAAAGUCACUUUUAUUUAUGUAUUUGCCUGUUAUAUGAAAGGUUUCUUCCUGUGCGGCCGUUUUAUAUAUUAAUCUUGAGAGUUGGCCAGUCGUCGGCUUUUGCCCCCAUGUAGGAAGUAUGGGGGUGUUCUGGAUACACCUGAACACUCUUUACCCCAUUCUUGGGUCCAUAAAGGAGGUGUUCAACACAACGAACCAGGCAAUCGGACUAUAGGGAUUUAUUACUCUCACUUAGCCAUAGGAAUUAGAGUAUGGUAGGCGCAGCCCCUGGUGUUCGGAAGACCGCACGAGGGGCUCUAACAGCACCUGAUCAAUAGACCGAUCCUUCGCACUCUGCAUUUUAUUAUGGCAUUAUGCGGAAUAAAUCCUUAAAAAAUUUACAACCUCUCGAACAGCUGACCAGCUCUCGCCUUAUCAUGACAGUCAGUUUUCGGCUUUCUCUACUGAGGUGCUCGUCCGGAAGAACCAGGACACAAUCGCAGUAGUUCUCCCAGCGCUACCUUAGCCGAUAUUGCGAAAUGUAAGGUACCAAAACAUGGGAGCCGGGCAAACCCAACUAAUGACCCAAGACAUGAUUCGGAGCUGAUGCAUAUAAUGCUAUAAGUUCGGGGUGCCGAACGACCGAGAAGGUGGUCGGACUUUGUUGCCAUAGUGCGGGUACAAUAAAGCCCCUAGCGUUUUAAGGCAUAACACGAUGUUCGGAUGCCAUUAUGACAAAAUGUCAGUGAGAAAUGAUAGCAGAUGAGCGUCAAAUGACUCUACAUGUUGUAUUCAAGUAAUACGGCUAUGCGUAUGAGUACAGUGCAUGUUAUAAAGGAGAGGCAUGACGGCAGAACAUGUUGGGACCGGGCGGUAGGGAGCUGUGGACGGAUCUGAAGUAAUAUUCGGAUUGUAUUCGGGGGGGUGUAUGAAGAUUCCCCUUUUGUGCGUCCGAGCUGAUUCCAUGUUGCCAGUCCAGUUAUGCGCAAAGGCGAACCUACAAAGAAAAUGCUAGAGGCGUUUGUGUGCCACGGAGCGGCUUAGCCGUGGGAUGUGACCCGUCCCAGCUUACGCCGGAGGGUUUAUCUGAGCCCAAAUCAGGCUGAGAUAUCGUGAGGUAGUUCGGGAUCCUUUAUUAGUGUCUGGGAGUUUGCUGUCGAAUCAAGGUUUGAUUGAAAAAGUCGCGACUCGCUGCUUCUGUUGCUAAAGUGGCCGAAUACUCUUCGGCGCCGAGGUGAAGCUCGGUUUUGCCCGUACUUGUGACUACGUCACAUGGUCUUGGUAUUUUAAGAUUGCCAUAGGCAUUGGCGUGAUACCACGUUGAAUCGCAGUUCGCGCUAGCGAUGCGUAAUAGCUACUGCCUAGAGGGAUACUGUCGAAGACCAAUUCUUUGGUAUGGUGACUUUUUGGUGACCCGAGGACCAUCUUCAGAGUGAUGGGGCCUAUACAACUGACCCUCGCACCUGGCAUGACACCUUGAAAUGAUGUGUUUAGUGGGUUUGAUCCUCGAGUGAUCAAUUCCUAUCUGGUGCACUGUGUCCUGGUGCAGUAAGUUUGGACUGUUGUCUCCGCCAAUAGGAGGAUACUUCUGGUUGAUACUGGCCAGAUAGUCUAGUCGAACGAAGAUGAUCGGCCGUAUGUUUAUGUGGUGGGGCGUCUCACUUUGUCGAGUUGAGGUCCUAAAGAGUGCAUGUCCGCUCCCAUUUGGGGACGGGGACGGUGUUUAUCAUGUUCAUUGUUUUGGUUGGUGGAAGAAAUUUCUUUUGCCCUGUAUUGCUUGAUGAUCUGGGCUCGUUGCUCUGAGACCCCCUCUUACUGUCUUCAGCGCCUGACCUGCCGAUUUGUUUAAAGACCCGACAUUCUCUAUUGGUGUGAUUGGUUGCCGUUCCUGGGAUACCAUGAAUUUGACAUGGGCGGUCAAGUAUGCGGUUCAGGCCGGAUAGGCCCGAAUUAUUACUUUGAGGUGUCUUCUCCCCGCUCACUGGACUGAGAGCCACGGACUCCUGCAUUGACUGCCAUGUCUUGGGCGUCAUCAUUGUUCUUGGGACGCUUAUGUUUGUUGCGUCGAGGUUUGCAAAUGCUGUUUCUGGCCUCUGAUGUGCUAGGAGUGCUUGUUAUGUUGUUGUUUAGUAUGUUUCACUGGUCUUGCACAUAGCCCCUGGCCGUAGUGUGUUGGCGGUGGGGUUUAGGCUGGCGUUCGGGCUUUAGUGCCUCCUCCUCGAAUUGAGGUAGUAGCCUGCGCUUUGGGUAAUGUUUUAUUCGGCGCUUGGGUCCAUAUUCCUCGGCUGCCCGAACCUUAGUCCGUCUGUCUGCUAGCAAAUCCUGAUUUGCUUGUAACUGUUGUUGUUUCUUCUUCAGGCUUCUUGCAAUGGCUAUAAGCCGGCGCUCGAAGCGCUCCUGCUCUAUGGGAUCCUUGGGCACGUUGAAUUCGUUGUCGCCUAGGAUCACCUCCUCUUCGGAGAGAGGCAUAUAAUUAUUGUCCUUCAAGUCUCCGUCUGUCGCCUGUUUGUCUGGGCUAGCUCGCUUGUCUUCCUGUUCGGCCUGUUCGAGGGUAGGCUGAUCGGGAUUAUAUUCAUCUUCGGCACCAUCCGGAUUGUGUUCAUCUCCUGUGCCGGUGUUGCUAUGGCGGGGCUUAGAGCGGUGCCGAUGACGACCAUGCUUUGAUUUCUUCCCUGAGGGGUUAUCUUCUAUUGCCUCAUUGCCAUUGUUUCCUUUGGGGGUGUCCACCAUAUAUAUAUAUAUAUAUCAUAUGAAGAGGUGGCUGUCCAACGUCCUAUGGGUGGUGGUUCCUAUUCUUCUCCAGCAUCGUUGUCCAUACCGUCGAUGUAUUUGGAGUCGAUGUUGAGCACGUCGGUUAAAUUAUCGACAGUGGCAAUGAAGUGGGUGGUGGGUGGGUAACGAAUUUCUUUGUCAUUUGCUUCUCAAUCGAGCCAGACAUAGUUCGGUCGAGAGUCUCCUGACAAAGAGAGAGACCUCAAUGAAUUUAGCACAUCACCGAAGAGGGAGUGCUGAAAGAUAUCCACAGCGGUGAACUCCAUUACCGGAGCCCAAUCAGAUUCAAUGGGCCCGGAUGCAUGCGGUCUGGAACCUACGGCCGGAAACGAGUCCGAGGGUCUGGUGACACAGAUUUCCUCAGGAGCGGAGUCUGUGUUCGGCUCCAACACCGAUGAGUGUGCGGCCUCCGUGGCGGGGUCCAUCCACCCGUCCUCGGAUGGCACGAUCUGCUCUGGAUCGAAGUCCGGAGCUAUAGCAGGAGCGAUAUCCCGAAUACUGUCCGACGGCAGAUCUAAGUCAUGCACGUCGUGAUCAUUCGGCGCUCCUGACAUGGGCCUGAAUCCAUCGAAGAUCAAGUCUGUGCGGAUGUCGGCGGUGUAGUUUAGGUUUCCAAACCUGACCUGAUGGCCAGGGGCGUAGCUGUCGGUCUGCUCCAGAUGGCCAAGCGAGUUGGACCGUAGUGCAAAGCCACCAAACACGAAGAUCUGUCUGGGGAGAAAAGUCUCACCCUGGACGGUGUCGUUGAAGAUUGAGGUAGCCAUCGAGCCUUACAACAACGACACAGAGGAACUCUCAAUGAAAGCACCAAUGUCGGUGUCAAAACCGGCGGAUCUCGGGUAGGGGGUCCCGAACUGUGCGUCUAAGGCUAAUGGUAACAGGAGACUGGGGACACGAUGUUUACCUAGGUUUGGGCCCUCUUGAUGGAGGUAAUACCCUACUUCCUGCUUGAUUGAUCUUGAUGAUAUGAGUAUUACAAGAGUUGAUCUACCACGAGAUCGUAGAGGCUAAACCCUAGAAGCUAGCCUAUGAUUAUGAUUGUGUUGUUUGUCCUACGGACUAAACCCUCCGGUUUAUAUAGACACCGGAGGGGGCUAGGGUUACACAGAGUCGGUUACAGAGAAGGAGAUCUAUCAUCCGAAUCGCCAAGCUUGCCUUCCACACAAAGGAGAGUCCCAUCCGGACACGGGAUGAAGUCUUCAAUCUUGUUAUCUUCAUAGUCCAACAGUCUGGCCAAAGCAUAUAGCUCGGCUAUCCGGAUACCCCCUUAUCUAGGACUCCCUCAGCUGUGUUGGUGGCCAAGGUGAUCCGAUGUCGUGACCAGUGUUAGGGGCAACGAGGGGGAGGGAUGAUGGAGGAGGCUAUGGUGAAGACGAGGACGACAAAGAGUUGUGGUGGAGGCUGCCUUUCUAGAAGCAGCUCCCUCCGCCUCCCUCCACGCGCACAUCAUUGAUGGUCGAUGACCAGACUGCCAUGCUCUGGACUGGAUCAAGCAAGAGGCCGCCAGCCGCAACUGGCUACUCUUCGCGCUCCUCGUUGUCAUGGGCAACGACUCGGAGGAGAUCCCAUGGGAGGCGGGGUGUCGUGGGAAUAAAUCUGAUAGUAAGGAGUAUGGGUAUGAACACAUGUUGGAUCCAACUACAGCGCAAGUGUGACACAUAUAUUUUACGAGUUUGGGCCCCUCACCAAGGAGGUAACAACCCUACGUCUCGAGCCCCGAGGCUAUGCUUUCUCUAGUGUUGGCUGACGUGGGCGCUCCGACGUCAUCUCACCAGCUGACCAGCUUCGUCGCGACAGUUCGACCGGGGGGGGGGGCUGCGCCAUCUCUUUAUAAACCUACUCAUGUCACUUCAGGGUCACCAGCCGACCAACUUCGUCACGAUAGCUGGUCCGACGGAUUUGCCCUGCCACAAGCCUAGACCACGUCAUCAAUGUCGAGCACAUUAGCCAGCUAAGUCGCUUGCAUGCUCAUUUUUUCAACUUUUUUAUUUUUGUUCGGUUCAACCAACAUUAUUUUUGUCUUAAACCAAAAAGUUGUUUGUUAAAAACACUUCUUUUUCCCAUGUCAACUCGGGCCUCUUAAAUUCGUAUGAGCUGUUUUAUAAUAAAUAUUUUCUUCUUAGCCAUUGUAAAGUCUUUUUCUACUACUCCUUUUUCCGACGUGAGUGUGUGGUCAAUAGCCGGAUGGUCUGGUUUCUCCCUAGUGCCGCCAAGGCCAGUCCUAAGGGGGGGUAGGAGGGGCAGCCACCCCGGCCCCCCAUGAUCAGGGGCCCCCUCCCAGAUAUGUACGUUGCAUGUAGCAUACGCACGUCGUAGUGCUUUCUUCCUCUCUGAUCGCUGAGUGCCAAGGUACACUACUACAGGAUGCUGCUAACGCGACACUAGGUCAGAGACCCUCCGAGAAACUAUGUGCGAUGCAAUAAUCACAAACGGUGGUGUUAGAGAACCGUCAAAAAUGUCCAAAAUGUUUGCGAUGAUGUAUGCAUCAAACACGGUUCAGAUUUUGGUUCCAUGUGCGAUGCAGGGCAUACGGUUUAGUUUAAUUAACUGUUUGCGAUGAGGAGGAACAAAAGAAACGUGCAGCCAGAUGAAGGCGUGUGCGAUACACAACAUACGGUUCACCCAGAUGAACUGUUUGUGUUGAGGCGGAACAACAGAAAUGGACAGCCAGAUGAAGGUGUGUGCGAUAUACGGCAUACAGUUCACUCGGAUGAACUGUUUGUGUUGAGCCAAGAGAACAGAAACAGUUCAACUUAACAAGAUGUGUGUGAUACGCGACAAACAGGUCUGUAAUCAGAAAUAUGUUGGAAGACCGCUAACAACACAGACGAUUCAUGUUAACAAGCCGUGUGUGUUGUGAGCAAAUGAUUGCUGGUAUACAAUCGUCAGUGAUUGAUGAAAUCAUCACCGGUGGGUUCCCUUGUUUAGUCCAUGUGCGAUGUGAUUUGCUCUGUCUACAGAGCAUUAACAAAUAUACUUAAAAAGACAGCAUUGCAUAACCAAUUUAAGCAUACAAUUAGACAAGUGACUACACAGAUAACAUUUUCACACACCAAAGUAAGCAAUUACAUGCAUACUAAACUAGGAGAAACAAGGAUCUAAUCAUCUAUUUCUUGUUGCGACGACGCUUGCCAUUGCUCUGCUUCCAGCUGGAUCCCUCACCGUUUUGGGGAAGGAGGCACUUCCUCAUGUCAACGAUCUGCAUGUACAUGUCGUAGCACGUGUACGCCUCCUUCUCCAUGUACACGACGUGAUCUUUGUCGAGUUUCUUCAUCCAGGCCGAGUGCCAGGCAUGCUUGUCGUUGUUGCAGGAAUCCUUCAUGUCUAUGUAGUAGGGGUUGAUGAUGGCCUCGGCGAGCUGAACCAGUGAGUCCUUCUCAUACUCCUUGCUGCCCCAGAUCUUGUAUUGGCCCUGGAUGUCGACAAGAUUCUGGUAGGCGAUGCCCAAAUUCUUGAGCACCUUGACAUCGUUGGUGAUGUCGGCCAUAGUGAACAUGUAGUGGGGGCUGUUGACAAACCUGGCGAAAUGCCCGCAAGGCCUUGUGGCCAGGCAGUAGUGGUAGACGAGGACGUGGUGGCCCACGCACAUCUAGGCAAUGGUGACCUUGGGACGAUACCCGGCACAAGCACGGGUGUGCUCGAUGUCGAACCCGGCCACCUUGUACUUCUCAUUGGCAAGCAAUAGCUCCAUGAUGCGGAUGGAGUGCUCCACCCAGACCGGGUGAUUGGUGUACACCACCGAGAGCUCCUCGAACCUUCGGUGGGUAUCCAUCACGGCAUGGAUGGAAAUCUGCUGCUCGUUGGCGGCAGCAGCUCGGAGCACCAUUGGAGCGUGCAGGAUACUCUCUAAGAAUUUGUCGUGGUGGGUGUGCUUCUUGCAAUGGUGGGGCGCGAUCGAAAGGUUGAAGAGACACGAGGGUUAAAUAGCCGUUGUAACAAAUGGGGGCCAACCGGCCUGAUCGUCACGUCUUGUCACGGUGUUCAUAGCGGAGGAUUCCAGUGCACGCUUGACAACACCGCACCGCAGUGAGGAUUCUAGUGCACGCUUGACAACACCGCACUGCAGUUUGACCACGCAUGGGCUCGAAGAGGCGCGAAAUGUAUCGUUGGUGAGCCUGUUCCCACGCUACCACGCAGUUUACCGUGCAAGCUUCCCGCCCGGCUUGGUUUGCCAUGUGUCGGCUAGAAGAGGGACAAAUCGUGGGCAUUUAUUGGCAAAAAGCUUUGUAAAAAUGAAGUGUGUGGAAUGACUUCAAUCGUAAGUUUACCCAUGGGUGAUGAAGUCAAAGUUACACAGAAGGGUGAUGAUGGACACUCGAGUGCGAUAAUUAAUUAUGCGCUCUACAGGGCACAUGGUGGAAGAAACCAACUAUGUGCAAUAAUGUCCAAAAUCGUAAUCGAGUUAGCUAUACAGAUCAUGUGCUGUGAGAUCGACAAGGUAAACAGAUUCGAGAAUGGUUAAUAGAAUCAAAUUUAAGACCAUUGCAUAUUAACUUAAAAAUAGUGCUACCAAUAUAAGAGUCUCAUACGAUGCCAUUUCAACGAUUGUACGGCAAAGGAUCAAAAUAUUACAAGGUUCAAAUUCCAGAGUUAUAUGGCUCAAAUUCGAAGAUUGCAAGGUUCAAACUGAUAUUAGAAAUGAAAUUCAGCUCAUCAGCUGCAAACGCUCGUGCUGAUCCGCUGAACAUGGAUAUCAGAGAGGUUCAAACUAAUAUUACCACUUCUAAGUCUGGUUUCGAAACCUCACAACUUUUGCAAAGGGGUCGGCCACUGAGAAGUCAUGUAUGGGGUUAACAUGAUGAGUUCCGAUUACUCUGUCAUCUGAAGUUCCAAAAUGAAAUUCAGCAUUUUUGGAGCCUAUUCCAUUCUGCCGCAGGCGCCGGUGCUGAUCAACAAACCAUUCAUUUUCGCAAAAUAAAUGUAGGGAAAACCCCAUUACCUUCAGCACCCUUGCUCUAAAAACCAAGAACCUGGCGAAUAUAAUCUCCGGUAAGGUCCCUCGAUAGGAGUUCAAAGUAAUUUCUGAGAGAUGCAGAUCUAGGCAUUCGACGUGAUUGUUAUACUGCAUCACAUUAUACAUCACUGGGCCUAAUCUGUCGGCGUUCUGGGAACGGGGGUACCCAGACUUGCCUGCCUGCGGCCUGCGGCGUGGCUCAAGGAGUGGCCCAGUAUGACCCAUCUUCAUCGACACAUGCUCAAGACCCUCGCGAGGGGCCAAGCCUCGCGGGGCGGAUGACAGGAAGCUUCCUCAGGCACAGCCUCGUCAGGCUGGCUCGCGAGGAGGCGGAGAGAUCAAGGCGGGGUACCUCACGAGGUGCCCAUGACGCAAGCCAUGACGACCGAAGCCAGGCGGGCGCCGGCCUGCGCAGAGUCCUUGUUUCCUCUUUGGUGCAAAGGGGGCAAGCGCAGGCAAGGGUAUCAAGCAAAGGCAACCAUUUCGGUGCAACAAGACCAAGACCAGCAGAACGGCAGGAUGGAGGUCAUCGUGGAGCCCAAGCCGGCGUCA
This 19986-nucleotide long non-coding RNA is filed under the name Triticum aestivum (bread wheat). Its description in RNAcentral is "long non-coding RNA (TAES_LNC011614)". The stretch from base 2411 to 2535 matches the Rfam family "MIR1120/MIR1122 microRNA precursor family". The record is from RNAcentral. Lineage: Eukaryota; Viridiplantae; Streptophyta; Magnoliopsida; Poales; Poaceae.